UACGUAGGGGGCAAGCGUUGUCCGGAUUUAUUGGGCGUAAAGAGCGUGUAGGCGGCCUGACAAGUCUGCUGUGAAAACUCGAGGCUCAACCUCGAGAUGUCGGCGGAAACUGUCUGGCUAGAGUCCGGAAGAGGAGAGUGGAAUUCCCGGUGUAGCGGUGAAAUGCGCAGAUAUCAGGAGGAACACCGGUGGCGAAGGCGGGUCUCUGGGCCGAUACUGACGCUGAGGAGCGAAAGCGUGGGGAGCGAACAGG
This 253-nucleotide ribosomal RNA is filed under the name uncultured bacterium. RNAcentral describes it as "partial 16S ribosomal RNA". It matches the Rfam family "Bacterial small subunit ribosomal RNA", at positions 524 to 776 of the family's 1533-position model. The record is from RNAcentral.